This 1273-nucleotide long non-coding RNA is filed under the name Nicotiana tabacum (common tobacco). Its description in RNAcentral is "long non-coding RNA (NTAB_LNC006259)". The record is from RNAcentral. Lineage: Eukaryota; Viridiplantae; Streptophyta; Magnoliopsida; Solanales; Solanaceae.
GGCUAGCGAAUGCAAUUAGUUUUUCCUGACUAAUCAAUCUUGUUCAAUAUUCUCAAAAUCGAUUGGAACAAUACAUUUUAAAGCCAAUAAAUCAAACUAAUUGUGAUGGAAUCCUGAACACGUAUUCAUAAAAUCCAAACCCUGAGACUGCGUGCUAGAAUUGUUCUCUCUUUUCCUUUUAUCUCAAAGUUCUUAACUAUAACGUUGUAUCAAUUUUCCAUAAUUUCCUGAAUAAUUAAAAAAAAAUCAGGAGUGAAGUUACAAUUAUGCUUACAAGUUCGACAAAACUCAUAACUUUGACCACAAGGGAGGAUUUAGGUCCAAAUUAUGGGGUACGAUAAUCCCAUAAUUUUUUUCCCAAACUAGAUAUUUUAUGUAUAUAUUUAUUAAUCUAAUAUUAUUUGUCGGUUCUUAUGCUCUAAAAAGGUAAAUGGCAUACCCGAUAAUUUUUUUCCCAAACUAGAUAUUUUAUAUAUAUAUUUACUAAUCUAAUAUUAUUUGUCGGUUCUUAUGCUCUAAAAAGGUAAAUGGCAUACCCGAUUGAAUGCUAAGUUAUUUACUAGAAAAAAGAGGGAUCAAUUCCCAUUAAUUUUUUUUUUUUUUGUGCGCCCAUAUUUAAAUAAUCUUAAAUCCUCCUUUGUUUUGGCCUAAAAUCUAUUUAAAAAUUCACCUGAUAUUUAUAGAAGAUUUAUCUAAAAUCCAAUAAGCUUUUUUCCUUGAAAAUGUAAAACCCAUAAACUCAAUAUUCUAUCACCACCUAUAAGAAAAGAAAGUUUAUUAUAAUUUCAAAACAAACAUACUAAGUACGUUGUUACAAAACCUCUAUAUCAGAAAUCCAGAAAUAAAUUUACUAAAUUGAAAAGUCAAAAAAAAAAAAAGAAGAAGAAGAAGAAGAAACAACAACAAGAGAGAUUAUUAGAAAUCCUCAAAUAAGGACGUGUUUGGAUAACAGGAAACUGAAAAUUAAGAUCUAGAGUAACAAUUAAGUUUCUCUACCUUGGAGGUGGAGAUAGAGGAAGAGGAGCGAGGUAUCUAGUGAAAAACAGCCGCAAGCUUGGUAAUAUGCGAAGAGGAUUAUACGUCGUCGUUUGACGGAUAAAAUCCUCUAUCGAUUCCACGAACAAAUUCAAGCUCCUUAUCGGCGGCACGUAUAGUGUCAGCGGUGCCGCCGAGAACGCCACCGCGAAGAACACCUCCAACAUUCCUUUAAACCGCCGUCAACAAUCACCGUAAAGUCAACACAGCCGUUGAUUUUGGCACUCCGGCGAAUAAU